AACCAGCACCUCAAGUGGUCAGGAUGAUUAUUGGGCCUAAAGCAUCCGUAGCCUGUUCUGUAAGUUUUCGGUUAAAUCUAUACGCUCAACGUAUAGGCUGCCGAAAAUACUGCAGAACUAGGGAGUGGGAGAGGUAGACGGUACUCGGUAGGAAGGGGUAAAAUCCUUUGAUCUAUCGAUGACCACCUGUGGCGAAGGCGGUCUACCAGAACACGUUCGACGGUGAGGGAUGAAAGCUGGGGGAGCAAACCGGAUUAGAUACCCGGGUAGUCCCAGCUGUAAACGAUGCAAACUCGAUGAUGCGUUGGCUUAUUGCUAGCGCAGUGUCGCAGGGAAGCCGUUAAGUUUGCCGCCUGGGAAGUACGUACGCAAGUAUGAAACUUAA
Molecule: ribosomal RNA, 385 nt
Filed under: uncultured crenarchaeote
Lineage: Archaea; Thermoproteati; Thermoproteota
Description: bacterial SSU rRNA
Rfam family: Archaeal small subunit ribosomal RNA
Source: RNAcentral